Ictidomys tridecemlineatus (thirteen-lined ground squirrel) is the source of this 103-nucleotide unclassified non-coding RNA. It matches the Rfam family "Y RNA". From Rfam's summary of the family: Y RNAs are components of the Ro ribonucleoprotein particle (Ro RNP), in association with Ro60 and La proteins. The Y RNAs and Ro60 and La proteins are well conserved, but the function of the Ro RNP is not known. In humans the RNA component can be one of four small RNAs -- hY1, hY3, hY4 and hY5. The record is from Ensembl. Lineage: Eukaryota; Metazoa; Chordata; Mammalia; Rodentia; Sciuridae.
AGCUGGCCCAAGUGCAGUGCUGUUUACAACUAAAUGAUCACAACCAGUUACAGAUUUCUUUGUUCCUUCUCCAUUUCCACAGAUUCACUUGGCUAGACUUAUU